AUGAAAGUAAGCGUUGGACACCAGCCAAAGGGUCAGCUAUGCCUGGUCUUAGCCGUGCUGGUUACCAUGGCAAUGCUCGGUGAGGCAGCGAGAAGCUUGCCACCACCUUCUCUUUCAGCAUCGCCAACGUAUGCUCCUAUCAUUAAGGUGAUAGGCAAAGCAUACUGCUAUAGAUGCUUCAACGAGGCACACCCAGAAGAAUCCCAUGGGAAGGAGCACCUGGAAGGAGCCAUGGUCAAGGUCACUUGCCAGGCCAAUGACCAGGCAAUAGUGGGAUUUGGCUACACCGAAAGCAAUGGCAAAUACAGUGUGGCCAUUACUGGUUUGCCACUUAGCGGCACCUUUGGGGCUGACUCAUGCAAGGUUGAGCUCCAUGCAGCAGCAGGAGGAUCUGACUGCAAUGUGCCCAUGGAGUUAAAUCUCUCUGGAGUUAGCGUUUACUCAAAGUCCAAUGAAGAAGUGGUUCUCCAAGCCAACCAAGUAAUGGCAUUUGGAUCAAAGAAAACAUUUGCUGGAUGUUCAAAACCUCACAUUCUACCAUCAAUGUAUCCAUCUAAUUCACAGCCACUCCCAUACCAGCAUCCCUCACCUCCAUCCAACUACAAAUCCCCACCAUUACCGCACCAGCAUUCGCCACCUCCUUCUAACAAGUUUCCACCUCCAUCAUAUCAGUAUCCAUCACCUCCACAGAACUUCUACUCUUCGCCGCCACCAUACCAACAGUCCACACCUUCAAACAACUACCAAGCUCCACCAACAUCUAACAAUCCAACACCAACCCACAAGUAUUUACCACCCCCAUACUACUACAACUCCCCACCUCCGAACAGCCACGUAGCUCCACCACUGCCAUACCUGCAGUCCCCGCCCCCAUACAACUACAAGUCACCUAUUCUACCAUUGUCACCAACGCCUCCUCAACAUUAUAACUCUCCACCUCCAUUUAACUAUGGAUCUUCACCCCCACCUUACCAAUAUUCUCCACUGCUGCCUCCAAAACAUCUACAACCAAAUGUUCCUCAUGCUAAUCCGCUACCAGCAUCAAUAUCUCCACGGUCUCUAUACCCCUAUGGCUCUCCACCACCAGCAUCAAUAUCCCCACAGCCUCUUUACCCCUACAGCUCUCCACCAUCAUAUCUGAACUCGUACCAAUCCCCACCACCACCGAUUCAGCUUCCUCAUGUAAAAUCGCCACCAGUUUCUUCAACAUCUCCACAGCCUCUGCACCACUACAGCUCUCCACCACCAUCGCUUCCAAACUCGUACCAAUCCCCACCACCACCGAUUCAGCUUCCUCAUGUAAAAUCGCCACCAGUUUCUUCAACACCUCCACAGCCUCUGCACCACUACAGCUCACCACCACCAUCGCUUCUGAACUCCUACCAAUCCCCGCCACCACCGAGUCACCUGUCAUAA
Molecule: ribosomal RNA, 1416 nt
Filed under: Triticum aestivum (bread wheat)
Lineage: Eukaryota; Viridiplantae; Streptophyta; Magnoliopsida; Poales; Poaceae
Description: partial small subunit ribosomal RNA
Source: RNAcentral